RNAcentral lists this non-coding RNA (157 nucleotides) under Clostridiales bacterium. Its description in RNAcentral is "GlcN6P sequence". It matches the Rfam family "glmS glucosamine-6-phosphate activated ribozyme aptamer". From Rfam's summary of the family: This entry contains a glucosamine-6-phosphate activated ribozyme that is found in the mRNA for GlmS. The record is from RNAcentral. Lineage: Bacteria; Bacillati; Bacillota; Clostridia; Eubacteriales.
AUCCCAUACCAAGCGCCAUGUGCCUGCCCUUCCGGCAGGAUAACGAGGAGGAGAGAGGAUCGAACCUUCGGCGGGAGCUCUCCCGCGCCGUCCGGGCGCGCACGUAGCGGGCAAAUAUGCGGGUGACCGCAAAACAGAGACGCUGCGACCGGAAAUC